GUGUGUGUACCGAAAAUGAGUAAAAGGAAAAUUACAGCUAAACACAAACCCCGCAGAAAAGUAAAAAGAGCCCUGGUCCUUAAUGGUAAGAAAAUCGAAAAACGGUCUAGUCACAAAGGGGUUAAAUUUAUUUUGCCACUUGAAUAUUUUAAAUGACAUCUUCAGGCCAUAGCAGGGAUGAAAUACUGCAAGGAAACAUCUUCAUGUAAUAAAAGAAAAUGUAUCAUACGUUUAUGAACAAUAUCUGCAAGAGAAGAAAACAAAAAUAUGUAUUACAACAUAGCAGUCACAAACUGACGAAAUAUAAAACAUUCUUACACAUAAUUAUAUACUCCGAAAUAUUAGAAAAAUAAAUAUACUGUAUUGUCCUUUAGGUACAAGAGGGAGUCACAGAACAGAUGUAUUUAACACCCCAGGUACAAUAACCACUACAAUGUGUUUUCCUGCAUCAUGAGUGUAUUCAUGUCAGUGAUAACAUUCCUAUGUUGAGCAAGUAUGUGUUUGUUGGGCAACAGAAGAGUGCAGCAGAUACUAUGGAAGAUGAAAACCUUUAGGUCAUCUUCAUGUACUUUUCCCUUUUGUAAACAUGUGUAUUUCUCCUUCUGCCAUUACAAGCAGCAAAACAUAGACAGUGUUGCAAAUCAAACCAAAUCAGGUAACUGCCAGUGCUAUUUUCUGCUUAUGAAUUAUAUGUCACUAGGUCGUACCGCAACUUACAGGAAUGGCGACUCACACAUACAGAGGUACUAGAUACACGUAUUACCGGGACUUAAAGUGGCCGGAUUUAAUGUAGGAAAGAUAAAGAAAAAUUCAGUAAUAGCCAAGGUCAGCAAUAUAGAAAUAUGGAUAAAUGGUAUAACAAGCUGGGUCAAGAUACCAGAAAUAAUCAAGGUCAGAAACAAGCCAAGGUCAAUAUCAAAAUAGAUCGAGAGACUUAAUAUAGGCACUAACGUGUACCAAGGCAGAAACCAUGAUAGGACAAUGAACAAGGGCCCAAAUUAGCAUUAUAUAGGCUAAUAAUUGUUCUGAUUUGUCCACAUCACCUCUGCGACACAAAAAUGAUUGACGUGGUCAGUUUAAGUGUGGAUGUGAUGUUAUCACAAUUGAAUUGAUAAAACGACAUGCCAAUGAAGCGGACAGCGGCUAGAUUUUUGCAGGAAAGAAUGACAGCUGUGUGGAUUUGGUAAGUAUGCAAGAUUUCCCUUUUCAGGAAUGCAUAACCUGAGGGGAGCUGCAUGACCACAUGUAGCCCUAAGCUCGUGCGGCCCGACAAGCAGAGCAUCUUGGGCUUGAGACUAUAUUUAAACUUAAUAUGCAGCAUUUAGCAUUUUCAGGUUUAAUGCUCAAAACUCAGUAGAUGGUAG
Non-coding RNA from Pelobates cultripes (western spadefoot toad), 1364 nucleotides. The record is from the annotation of a GenBank genome assembly. Lineage: Eukaryota; Metazoa; Chordata; Amphibia; Anura; Pelobatidae.